Molecule: ribosomal RNA, 1361 nt
Filed under: uncultured bacterium
Lineage: Bacteria
Description: bacterial SSU rRNA
Rfam family: Bacterial small subunit ribosomal RNA
Source: RNAcentral
AUUGAACGCUGGCGGCAGGCCUAACACAUGCAAGUCGAACGGUAGCACAGAGAGCUUGCUCUCGGGUGACGAGUGGCGGACGGGUGAGUAAUGUCUGGGAAACUGCCCGAUGGAGGGGGAUAACUACUGGAAACGGUAGCUAAUACCGCAUAACGUCGCAAGACCAAAGAGGGGGACCUUCGGGCCUCUUGCCAUCGGAUGUGCCCAGAUGGGAUUAGCUUGUAGGUGAGGUAACGGCUCACCUAGGCGACGAUCCCUAGCUGGUCUGAGAGGAUGACCAGCCACACUGGAACUGAGACACGGUCCAGACUCCUACGGGAGGCAGCAGUGGGGAAUAUUGCACAAUGGGCGCAAGCCUGAUGCAGCCAUGCCGCGUGUAUGAAGAAGGCCUUCGGGUUGUAAAGUACUUUCAGCGGGGAGGAAGGGAGUGAGGUUAAUAACCUUAUUCAUUGACGUUACCCGCAGAAGAAGCACCGGCUAACUCCGUGCCAGCAGCCGCGGUAAUACGGAGGGUGCAAGCGUUAAUCGGAAUUACCGGGCGUAAAGCGCACGCAGGCGGUCUGUCAAGUCGGAUGUGAAAUCCCCGGGCUCAACCUGGGAACUGCAUUCGAAACUGGCAGGCUGGAGUCUUGUAGAGGGGGGUAGAAUUCCAGGUGUAGCGGUGAAAUGCGUAGAGAUCUGGAGGAAUACCGGUGGCGAAGGCGGCCCCCUGGACAAAGACUGACGCUCAGGUGCGAAAGCGUGGGGAGCAAACAGGAUUAGAUACCCUGGUAGUCCACGCUGUAAACGAUGUCGACUUGGAGGUUGUUCCCUUGAGGAGUGGCUUCCGGAGCUAACGCGUUAAGUCGACCGCCUGGGGAGUACGGCCGCAAGGUUAAAACUCAAAUGAAUUGACGGGGGCCCGCACAAGCGGUGGAGCAUGUGGUUUAAUUCGAUGCAACGCGAAGAACCUUACCUACUCUUGACAUCCACGGAAUUUAGCAGAGAUGCCUUAGUGCCUUCGGGAACCGUGAGACAGGUGCUGCAUGGCUGUCGUCAGCUCGUGUUGUGAAAUGUUGGGUUAAGUCCCGCAACGAGCGCAACCCUUAUCCUUUGUUGCCAGCGAUCCGGUCGGGAACUCAAAGGAGACUGCCAGUGAUAAACUGGAGGAAGGUGGGGAUGGCGUCAAGUCAUCAUGGCCCUUACGAGUAGGGCUACACACGUGCUACAAUGGCAUAUACAAAGAGAAGCGACCUCGCGAGAGCAAGCGGACCUCAUAAAGUAUGUCGUAGUCCGGAUUGGAGUCUGCAACUCGACUCCAUGAAGUCGGAAUCGCUAGUAAUCGUGGAUCAGAAUGCCACGGUGAAUACGUUCCCGGGCCU